This 29-nucleotide small RNA is filed under the name Bombyx mori (domestic silkworm). RNAcentral's name for it is "ovarian small RNA-14372". Lineage: Eukaryota; Metazoa; Arthropoda; Insecta; Lepidoptera; Bombycidae. The record is from RNAcentral.
CGCCUGCGGAAUUCGAACACCGGUGCAUC